GGUGCACCUGCGGAAGGAUCAUUAACACGUAUCCAACGUUAAACCCCCCUGUGAACCUUUAGUGUGCUCGCUCAUUCUGUAGGCAAUCCCUGUUAAAUCGUUCUGCGAAGUGUGUUGCUUGUAGCGCGAGGCAAGUGGCCUGGCAUUCCUCUGCUUGUUAGUGUCUGAAAGUGUCACUGGCUCUGUAAGAAUGGCGCAGUCACGAUCGGCCGGCGACCGGGUCACCGGGCUCACGCCCGCUAAUCACCUUUGCAUGAAAACGGGCCUGCGCUUAAUUGUGCGGCCAUAAACCGAACAACUGUUAACAAUGGAUAUCUUGGUUCUC
RNAcentral lists this unclassified non-coding RNA (325 nucleotides) under fungal sp. RNAcentral's name for it is "partial internal transcribed spacer region". The record is from RNAcentral. Lineage: Eukaryota; Fungi.